GACGAACGCUGGCGGCGUGCCUAAUACAUGCAAGUAGAACGCUGAAGAGAGGAGCUUGCUCUUCUUGGAUGAGUUGCGAACGGGUGAGUAACGCGUAGGUAACCUGCCUUGUAGCGGGGGAUAACUAUUGGAAACGAUAGCUAAUACCGCAUAACAAUGGAUGACACAUGUCAUUUAUUUGAAAGGGGCAAUUGCUCCACUACAAGAUGGACCUGCGUUGUAUUAGCUAGUAGGUGAGGUAAUGGCUCACCUAGGCGACGAUACAUAGCCGACCUGAGAGGGUGAUCGGCCACACUGGGACUGAGACACGGCCCAGACUCCUACGGGAGCAGCAGUAGGGAAUCUUCGGCAAUGGACGAAAGUCUGACCGAGCAACGCCGCGUGAGUGAAGAAGGUUUUCGGAUCGUAAAGCUCUGUUAUAAGCGAAGAACGGGAGUAAGAGUAGG
Molecule: ribosomal RNA, 446 nt
Filed under: uncultured bacterium
Lineage: Bacteria
Description: bacterial SSU rRNA
Rfam family: Bacterial small subunit ribosomal RNA
Source: RNAcentral